UUGUUCUUCCUUGGCUGCUUCUUCUUGUGCUUUCUUAUACUAAACGAUUUCAAAACAUAAUUUUGUAGUUCUCAUGAAUUGUUUUUCUACACUUUAUACUUCUAAAGAUAUUUAAGAUAAAUUAGUCAAAAUGUCCUUAUAAAAUGUGUCUAUCUGUUUCUUAAUCAAAGCAACACUAUGCAACAAUUUGACACUAUUUGAGGUAUGGUUUUAUAGACAUGGGAGCACUCUCCAGCACUCUUUCAGCUUCUUGUGGCUCUGUAGAGAAGGCAUUGGGACCAUUAACACCAAAAAGAUCUAUGUAGGGACAUCUUUAGGGACAAGAUUGCAGCAGUUCAGUUUUCCAAAAGAUCCCGAAUAGUUUUUACAUUUAAAGACUUCCAGGACAACAAAGCCUUUAAAAAACUGGAUGAUGAAGAACAUAUGAAAUCUCUGACAAACAGACAUGAAGCCAUGCACUACGCUCUGAAUAAUCUUUUUGACAAAUCAGAGAGUGGUCGACACCCAGAUGCAACAAAGGUGGUUGUCAUCAUUAUUGAUGGCAACCCAUCAGA
Molecule: long non-coding RNA, 554 nt
Organism: Clupea harengus (Atlantic herring)
Lineage: Eukaryota; Metazoa; Chordata; Actinopteri; Clupeiformes; Clupeidae
Exons: 4
Source: RefSeq, a predicted model, not a curated record